This 6370-nucleotide long non-coding RNA is filed under the name Sus scrofa (pig). Its description in RNAcentral is "lncRNA (ENSSSCG00000058924.1)". Lineage: Eukaryota; Metazoa; Chordata; Mammalia; Artiodactyla; Suidae. The record is from RNAcentral.
CUGCAGGUGGUGGGGCCUGGAGGCCUUGGGGUGGAACCUGAGGGUCAGGCUGCGUCUCCUCCGCAGGGAGACGAGGGCGGCAGGUCUACCAGGGAGCAGUCGCUGCCCAGCUUCUCCCUGCGUAGGAAGGGAGAGGGCGGCUGGGCGCUGAGUGUGCCCACGCUCCAAGGCAGGCUUUGGGCUCCAACAAGGGGGGCCGCCCAGGAUUGGGCCGUCCCAGGCAGAAGGAAAGUUCCUUUCCAGGCUCCCUGUUCCUCACAAUUUCCCUUCGUAGUGGCAGAGUCAGCGCCAAGGAAUUGCAUAGGUGCCACUCAGACCCGCGUCCCCCUGAGCCCUGCUCUCCUCUGCGCGGCCUCCCCGCUCCCCCUCCUCCCACCGCACGGCGCCCCCACCCUCAGGUGGGCAGACCCAAUGGGGCGUUUGAAACCGAAAUGGACAAAUAUCUACAAUAUCUGUCAUCCAAAGACUGAGAGCUGCCAUGAGCCUCUGUCGGACUCAGUGUUUCAGCCGUCAGAUGAGAAUAACGACAGGGACCUUCAAGGUGCUUGCAACUAAGUGCCGAAGCCCAGGGCGGUGGAGGGCUGCGGGGGCUGGAGGAUGGGGGGACGCAGGGAGCCACCCCCCUUGUUCUUCCCCCUCCAGGUCCUGGGUUCCUAGAAGAGGGGAAAUAAAAAGUCACCUGUUUGGCAGGCCCACUGGGACUGAGACAAGGCCUGCACCCGAAGGCGGCUUCUUCCCCGAACAGCGCCCCCUACCCCCACCCCCACCCCACCCCCCGCAGCCAGCCCCCCUGUGCCCAGCCCUCUGACCUCAGAAGGCUCUCCUAGUUAGCGCAGGGUCGUGACCUUGGCUAUUCAGGGAGGAAAUGCCCUGCCCAGAGUUCCUCUUGAGACAGGUGUUGAUGGUGAGUUUAGUAAAACCAGGGAACUCGCUGGGUUUCAGAUGAGUGUAAUGGAUUGAAUCAUGCCUGUUUUUAUGUUGGGGUCCUUACGCCCAGCAGCCACGGUGCUGCAGCCUUGAUCUUGAACGUCUGGCCUCCAGAACUGGGCGGCAACGAGCCUCUGUUCCUACGUAAGCUGCCCAUUUGUGGUCCUUUGAUAUGGCGGCCCCAGAAAACCGGUACGGGGGGGGGGACGGCCACUGUUCCGAAGACAGGACCAGACGAUGAUCUUAGACAUAAAGCCAAGGGGGCCUCUGGCAUCACCCAGGAUGGCAGAGCCCUCGAAACUCCUGCUGCGGAACGUGCAAAGACAAGGCGGAAGCAGCAGGCUUUCGGCGAGCCCCUGAGUUCACGAGCAAGUCAGGAUGUUCCAGGAGACGGAGACGAGCAGAGUGAGAGUGGAGUGGCUGCACCCUGGGAGCGCUGGUCCCAGGAUCCCAGGCUGUGAGUCUGACGGCCACGUUGGCCCUCGUGAGACAGGCGCCAGUAGAGCGGCCCCUUCGGGAGGAGCACAGACGAGGAGGCCCUGCACCUGGGCUGCUCCGACGCCGGCUCAGAGGUGCGGAGCUUUCUCAGGUUCCCCAGUCUGGGCCCCGUCACCCUUGCAGCAGACCAGCCGCAAAGAACGUGGGCCUGGGCCAGCCUCGCCCAGGGGCCUGGCACGGAAGCACAUGGGUAGCCACGCUGGGGGGAACCUCUCCAUCCUGCCCCGGCUGAUUCCUGCCAGCAGAGACGAACUCACGUUCGCAAAGGUCAGGACACGCCGGGAGAGGGCCACCGCCGGGAGCCCCGGCUGCGAGCGGCUCUCCAGACAGCGCGUCAGGACACUAGAGACAGGGAAGGGCUGGCGGAGUCGGAGGGAGGGCGAGCACGUCGGGACAGACCCCCAGGGGAGAGCAGCGUGUUGGAAGGGGAACCGAGUGGAACAUCCGAAGGGAAACAACACCCACGGGAAGGCACUUCCCCGGCUGAGCUCUGACGAGGCCGGUCGAGCCCGCGUCCGCAGGCCCCGCACCACGUGUGGCGGGAGCACAGGCAGCAAGGCCCGGAGCAUCUGGAGGACGUCCGCCCGGCAAACUGCAAAGAAGCAGCUCCCGAGAGACAAGCACGGAGAGAUCCGACCCGCGGGAUGAAAGAAGUGAAGCCUCAGACUCGGGAACACCGCGAGUCUGAAGCUGGGAAGAAAGAAACGGAGCUGCACGCGUGCGCUCGAGAGGGAAGCCGCGGAGUCCAAAGGACGACACAUCUAGAAGAAAGAAAACCAGUCCGGUACGCAAAAGUAGCCACGGUGGCAGCCGACUUGGCAAUCAUGAGGAUGAAAACAAGCAAUCGUAUGACCUACUUUUUCGAAGCCUCAAGAGAAAAUUCUAUCGACUGGGGAUUUUUACACGCAGCAUUGUUACCUGUUAUGCGGUAAGAAAUUACCCCGCAACUCAACCGCUUAAACACAUGUAGUAUCCCACGGUUUCUGCGGGUCAGGAAUCCGCCGAGCUGAGAGGGGGCCUCGGCCGGAUGAUCACGCAGGCUGCAGUCGCGGUGUUGGCCUGGGUCGGUGUCUCAGUUGAAGGUGUAACCGGGAAAGGGUCUGUUUCCAGGCUCGCUCGGGGAUGGUUCCUUGUGGCUCUUGGACUGGGGACCCUCCUGUCCGUGCCUCGUGGGCUUCUUCCACACGGCCGCUUGGGUCGCCAAAGCACACAAGCCAGCCUGGCGCCAGGGACUCUUCCGGCACGACCGAAGCCACAAGCACCUGCGCCUGCUCGUGGAGCGAGCCCUGCCUGCCGUGUUGUCUAGGUUACCGGGCAGGCACUAGGCAAGGAUGGGGAAGCCUCUCCCGCAGGCCCAGGGAUCAGGGGACUCCGCGGGAGUCCGUGCCAGUCCCUGGUCAGGUCAUCCCUCGGGAGGGAGGGCCUAGGAGCUCCCGGCGUGGCUCAGCACUAACAAAGCUUCAACAGAACCAUUUCAAACACACGUGCCUACGGAGUUCCUCUGUGGCAGACCCUUGCUGAAGGCACAGCUCGAGGAAGUCCUUCGGGAGAACUGAGCGGGCCUGAGAAGGAGGGGGGUGAGGCCAGGAGCCCCUAUAGGUGCCCCUUGCAAAGGUGGUCAUGACAGCGACACCUCGAGGAAGAAAGGCAGAGAGACGCUGAGACGCUGCAGAGCCAAAUCCUCAGCGGAGACAUUGCCGAGCUGGGGCGAGUGGGGCUGAUCAGAACGAGCUGGGUCAGACCGGGUGCCCCUCAGCAGGCGGAGGGACGCGUGGGUUAAUCCCGUGCUCUCGCCUCAAAUACAGGUGAUUCAAGGUGAACGGUAACCACUUAACCAAUACCGACAGCUUCCAAUCUGUGGCGGAGGCAUGAGGGAACAGAUGCUCGGUCUAAUUGGAGUCAGGAAACGGGACAAAGAUGCAAAGAUGAAGUAAAGAGAAAGAACGAGGUGGAAACGUAACGACAAUCACAGUGAAAUUAAAUGGGGCCAACCAGCCAGCUUUUUAAGAAAUCAUUUAUCAAAGUGGAUGAAGAGGGGUUCCCGUCGUGGCUCAGUGGGGUGAGAAUCUGACUAGUAUCCAUGGGGAUGCGGGUUCGAGCCCUGGCCUCGCUCGGUGGGUAGAGGGUCUGUCUCUGCCACAAGCUGUGGUGUAGGUCGCAGGUGUUGCCCAGAUCCUGCGUUCCUGUGGCUGUGCUGUAGGCUGGCAGCUGCAGCUCCAGUUCAAAGCCUAGUCCAGGAACGUCCUGAGCCACCUAAGCCACCCCUCCAGCCGGACCCCUGGACCCCCCCCACCCUUACCCCAUCCAAGGGAUCAGCUCACGGGCCCCCCUCGGGGAGGGGCAAGCAAUGGCCCCUGCUGUGUGUCUUCGCCCCCCGCCCGCCCCCUGAGGGGGGAGGGGGAGGGGGAGGGGCAGCAGGAGCCCCAGGAAGGCUUUGCCUGAAUUUCUCCUCUGGCCUCUUACCAAUUUCUGUUGAUUUGGGAGACCAAGAACGCUGGUCGAUAACAAGUUUGCCAGGAAGGUUUAAUCACCCAGACUUUGUACAUGCCAAGAACACGGUUUGAAGCUGCAUGAAGCAACAUUUGACAGGACGACGAGAACAAAUCAUCAGAUCCAUGGUCCCUGAGGGAAAUUACCGUGUAUGUCUCUUAGACUGAUAGGACCACCUCGACAUUAAUGAUUCAAAAAUUAAAGAGCACAGUUAACAAGCGCGACCCGAUAUGCAAACCCUGCACCCCCAAAUUAAAGAACGUGUUAUCUUCAGGCACGCGUGGAAUGUUUACCAACGAGGGACGCGAGACGAGGCCACACAACCAAAUCCCCACCAAAACCAACAAUUCCGUAUUGCGUUGCCCACGUUCUCCUGCUCAGUGACGGUAGAGCUGAGAAACAGGCACCAAAUGGAAAUGGAAAUAGGAAAAAUUGUAAACCAGACCCGCCUAAAGGUUCGAAGCGUGAAUCAGAACGGGGGCUCCCGCGUGUGGAACGUGGCAGUAAAGAAACACGUUGGUAAAGGGGGUUGGGGCAGCUGGACCUGUGCUUGGAAGGGAGUUUCUACUCCGAAACUGCACCUGUGGGGACAGGAGCGGGACCGCGCCGCCUAACUCAGAAGUCGGCCGGGGAGCAGGAGGGCAGCCUGGUCAGGAUUCGAGGAAUGAUCGUGAGACAACGACCAGAAGAAAGCAGACAUCGGGCAGGAGUAACAAAGCCAAACCCAGCUGGACCUCCCCGCCCUUCCCAAGACCAGAAGCCUGCGGAAGGGAUGGGCCUUUGCCUCCAGGGUGGGUUUCCAGGAGGGUGGCUGCUCCCACCCCCCUCUCCCUCCUGCUCUGUCUGCAGCCCUCCCUCCGUCUCUCCGUCCCUCCGUCCCUCCGUCCCUCCGUCCCUCCGUCUCUCCGUCCCUCCGUCCCGCCGUCCCUCCGUCCCUCCAUCUCUCCAUCUCUCCAUCUCUCCGUCUCUCCACCUGAGGGUGAGCCAGCCUGCAGAGACGCCAAUCCCCGUGAGUGAGCCUGCAAGCGGACCCGACCCCACUGGAGCCCUCGGAAAAGCGCAGCCUCAGCCGCCCCUUUGCUGGCAGUCAUGAGGCUCUGAGAGAGACGCCCCAAGCGAAGCGCCCUUGUUCCCCACACUCAGAACUGGGGGGGAUUCAUACUUGCUGUUUUCAGUCUCUAAGUUCUGAUGUCGUCUGCCACACAACCGGUACCUAAACCACAAAAGCCGUGAUGUCGCAAGAUUGAAGAAGAAAUGGGGCAACAGGAUUUGCUAAACAGUGUCAGAAGUGAAGAGUGAGGCAAACCACAGAUAGAAGAGAGAUUUUAAAAUCAAAAGAAGAUAGGAUGACCAGUCUUGCCGAUAAAUUUAAAGCUUAAAUAAAACAAUGUUCUGUUAAAAAUUAAACCUAUCAAAACUCAAGAAAAAAACUGAAUCCCCAAAUAGCCCAAUAACCAUAAAGAAAAUGAAUCACCAGAACUGCGGAUGGUUUAAAGAAAAGUUAUAUCAAAUAUUUAAAGAGCAGGAGAUCCAGCUCUUAUAAACGUCUUCCAGAUAAUUAAGUAGGAAGACCACCCAGACAAUCUUGAUGUCAAACCCAGAUGAUGUUACAGGAAAAAUUUUAAAAUAUAGACUGAGCAUAUUUAGACACAGAAAUACAAAAUUACCAAAUAAAAUACGAGCAAAGUUCGUCACUAUGUAUGAAAAAUAAUUACACCACAUUAGGUGUUCAAUCAAUAUAAGAAAAAUAUUUGAGGGAGUUCCCGUCAUGGCGCAGUGGUUAACAGAGCCGAUUGGAACCAUGAGGUUGCGGGUUCGAUCCCUGGCCUUGCUCAGUGGGUUAAGGAUCCGGCGUUGCCGUGAGCUGUGGUGUGGGUUGCAGACGCGGCUCGGAUCCUGCGUUGCUGUGGCUCUGGCGUAGACCGGCAGCUACAGCUCCAAUUCGACUCCUAGCCUGGGAACCUCCGUAUGCUGCCGAUAAAGUUAUUUCUGAUCGGUUUUGACCGACCCUUGCUCCAUCGCCAAUGACAUCACUCCUUAGCGAAGGUCGUUGAUGAAACCCUGUGAGAGACCCGUGAGUGGAGGGAAAGCCCUCAACUUGGUAGGGUUCUCACCACACCUCAGCCUCGUCAGCAUCGUCAGCCAUGGUGUGGCGGUUACACAACUGUGAGUGUUCUUGGUGCCAUGGAACCGUGCACUGGAGAGUGUGCACGUGGGAGCUCCUGUCAUGGCUCGGCAGUAACAAGCCCGACUGGGAACCAUGAGGUUGCGGGUUCAACCCCUGGCCUUGCUCAGUGGGUUAAGGAUCCGGUGUGGCCAUGAGCUGUGGUGUAGGUCCCAGAUGAGGCUCAGAUCCCGCGUGGCUGCUGCUGUGGUGGAGGCCGGCAGCUGCAGUAGCUCCAAUGGGACCCCUAGUCUGGGAACCUCCAUAUGCCGCAUGUGCGGCCCUAAAAAG